Molecule: ribosomal RNA, 253 nt
Filed under: uncultured bacterium
Lineage: Bacteria
Description: partial 16S ribosomal RNA
Rfam family: Bacterial small subunit ribosomal RNA
Source: RNAcentral
UACGUAGGGGGCUAGCGUUGUUCGGAAUUACUGGGCGUAAAGGGCGCGUAGGCGGCUCGGCAAGUUGGAUGUGAAAGCCCAGGGCUCAACCCUGGAAUUGCAUUCAAGACUGCCUUGCUUGAAUUCGGUAGAGGUUGGUGGAAUUCCCAGUGUAGAGGUGAAAUUCGUAGAGAUUGGGAAGAACACCGGUGGCGAAGGCGGCCAACUGGACCGACAUUGACGCUGAGGCGCGAAAGCGUGGGGAUCAAACAGG